UGUUAAAAGUUUUAUUCAUUUGUACUUUUAAUUACCGACAUAGUUGACAAAAUAACCCGAUAAUAACACGUGGGGUGUUAUGGAUAUGUCAUGCUAACGUAAAGAUCAGUUUUUAACAACAAAAAUAAAUAAAAUUCUAACA
Molecule: microRNA precursor, 142 nt
Filed under: Gossypium hirsutum (cotton)
Lineage: Eukaryota; Viridiplantae; Streptophyta; Magnoliopsida; Malvales; Malvaceae
Description: MIR7502 microRNA precursor family
Rfam family: MIR7502 microRNA precursor family
Source: Rfam by way of RNAcentral